CGGAUCAAAUUCUCCAGCUCCAUAAAUAUCCCUCUUAUCGCUUCCCCUAACCUCUUCCAUAUUGCAACGGCAUCGUUCCUAAGAACUAAACAGUACUGAUCAGAGAAAUUAAACUCAAAAUCGGGCAUUAAUUCUCUCAACGUCUCAAAUAAAUCCAGAAUCUUAAAUAACCGCUCUGGCGCCCGGCUCCCGAUAGCCACCGCGUCUGCGAAAUUCAGAAUCUGAAUCGUGGAUCCCCGACAUACCUCCAUGAACGACAAAUCAGCAGCAGAUGAGAACCCAAAAAACACGCGAUCGCAUAGACGACGCUCGCUUGGGAAGAGGNNNNNCGCGACAUUCGCUGCUUUAAUCCACUUAUCAAUUUCGUCCUCAAGGUCUUGCCAUGAUAUUUUCUGAACCUCUUCGAUACUCAAUUUCUGCAUCCCUAAUCUCGACAUGCUUUCUUCCAGAAACUCUCUCCUGCAGCUACUGUACACAUGUGAGCACUCUUUACCAAAACCGGCGACCACCAUUCGCCUAGCGAUCUCAUGAAGAUCGUUAAUCGUCCCAGACGGAAGCGCGUCGAUCACAAUAUCGUA
RNAcentral lists this unclassified non-coding RNA (578 nucleotides) under Hevea brasiliensis (rubber tree). Lineage: Eukaryota; Viridiplantae; Streptophyta; Magnoliopsida; Malpighiales; Euphorbiaceae. The record is from RNAcentral.